RNAcentral lists this unclassified non-coding RNA (20 nucleotides) under Mus musculus (house mouse). RNAcentral describes it as "oocyte_clustered_small_RNA13508". The record is from RNAcentral. Lineage: Eukaryota; Metazoa; Chordata; Mammalia; Rodentia; Muridae.
UGAGCCUUGGCACUGCCACC